UACGGAGGGUGCAAGCGUUAAUCGGAAUUACUGGGCGUAAAGCGCGCGUAGGCGGUUUGUUAAGUCGGAUGUGAAAGCCCCGGGCUCAACCUGGGAAUUGCAUUCGAUACUGAUCGACUAGAGUACGAGAGAGGGAGGUAGAAUUCCACGUGUAGCGGUGAAAUGCGUAGAUAUGUGGAGGAAUACCGGUGGCGAAGGCGGCCUCCUGGCUCGAUACUGACGCUGAGGUGCGAAAGCGUGGGGAGCAAACAGG
RNAcentral lists this ribosomal RNA (253 nucleotides) under uncultured prokaryote. RNAcentral's name for it is "partial 16S ribosomal RNA". It matches the Rfam family "Bacterial small subunit ribosomal RNA", at positions 524 to 776 of the family's 1533-position model. The record is from RNAcentral.